CGUUGAUUCCACCGCCGAUGAGGAGUCCGGUCCAGCAGCAGCAGCAACAGUAACAACCCAGCCAGCCAGCCCUUCCGAACUACGGCUCAUUCCCACCCCACCACCAGCCCCAACAUCCACGCCAUCAGCUGCACCAGAACCACAUUCGCCCGGUGAUGGGCGGCGGCGGUCCCAUCAGCCCAAGUUCGUCUACCGACUUGAUGGCAUCGAUUACGGCCUGUGCCGCUUCGCAAAUGCAAAUGCCCCCUCAGCAGCAACAGCAGCAGCAGGUUGUAGCGGCGGUGCACCAACUAUAGUGCAAAUUUGGAGCUGGUGGCAAGAGAAAGUGCUUAGACAACCCGGUUCAGUUUGAGUCCCGGCCGAUUUGAGUCCGGCACGAAUCAGGUGCGCGUCGGCUGGACCCUCGGGGAAGAAAUCGCUCAAUUCCAGCGAAGCUGCUCAAGAAAGCGGAAAAAACAUCAUCAGCAGUACAACUACAGUAACUAUAAGUGCUCCGUCUAACCGGAUGUCCCCACCCGCAAGCACAAAAAGUCUCGCCGAUCCUCGUCGUCGGAUCACAAUCACAAGCAAGUCGUCCCGCUGGUCCCGUCCCCCCUCUACUCCAGCAGAAUCCGGAACAAGCACGAAGCGUCUCUUUCACCGGUGUGAACCAGCAACAAGUCCACCCGUCACCAUCUCCCGUCAGCAGCGUUUCUUGAUUCCAAACGCGAUCGUCCCUCUCGCUGGUCAGCCGCAGCAAGUACGCGGUGAGGUGGCGUCCUCACGCUGGCUGCGGCGGUCUCAGAUGCUUUAGAAGGAGUUGACCAGAACCAACAGUGUACAAUCCAAACCGGCGAGGACUCCCGAGACGGACAGUUACGGGACGGUUGCACCCGCUGCAGCAAGAGCAGCUACCAAAAACCUAAAAUUAUGGAGAGAGGAGACAAACUUGAAAGCGACGAAUACGACGAAGAAGCAUUACGGAACUUGCUCGUCCCGUUCGCGCUUCAGACUUGGCUCCGAAAGCCGCAGCUGAUCUGGAAGUCGUGCAGCUUGCGCAACCUUCCCGGAACCGUGUACGGAAGUGACAACUCCUGCAUAGAUGGAGGCCCUGGCACAAGAGGUGGCCUUAAGUCUGGAGAGCGCGCUCAACCAAUAUCGACCAGUAGCGUCUCUCCUCUUCAUGAAUGGUGCUGAAGUGCUGUCGCAAUCUCUUGCGCACCCACAACCCUCACAUUCCCCUCCUUCCCCUGGUCGACUCCUGGACGUUCUGCUCAACUCCAGUUCCAGAGAAUGAUGCUUCCAAACGCGACCCGGAUCGAACGUCCCCGGCAGUUAAAGGACACCUAACCACAAUGGAACGAAGCCAAGAAAUAGUCCGCACUCGCACUGUGGAGAUCGACAGUGGCAGUGAGACCAUUCGCAACCAUUACGUGAAGAGCGUGACCGAACCAAACCGAAAGUUGGUUGUCCUGCAGGCCGUUAGUCGUGCCUGCUAGCGCAGCAGCCACUCCGUUAGACGUUUUCUGUCAUGCUCCAGUUCACGCUAGCAUUCCGGGUCGAGUGCCCCCCAACCCCGAUCUACUCGGACAAUCCGCAGGCCCCGAACCGGGAAAAAUGUCCGACUGAGCGAUUUGAAGUUAAAGGGCAGUCGGGUGCGUAGCCUCAUAGCAUAGCUAUCCCAAGCGCCGAAAGAAAACAAGGUCCUUGCACGAAAUCCGCCUGCGGUCCGUGACCAAAGUCACAAAAAUGUACAACCUUGACUAUUCUGCCGAUGUCUACGGACUGAAGAAAAAUCGCGCGUUCCACAAGUUUCACGAACCGCGGCGGGAACCUGGACGAGCUGCUGGACAUGAAGUGAAGACUGACAUUCGCGACGUUCCGAAGGUGGUCGGUUUCACCGUGGGUAUCUACAACGACAACUAUACCAUAAAACAGUCCGCUGCCGAAGAGCAUGUA
Long non-coding RNA from Culex pipiens pallens (northern house mosquito), 1938 nucleotides. RefSeq lists it as uncharacterized. The transcript has 5 exons. Lineage: Eukaryota; Metazoa; Arthropoda; Insecta; Diptera; Culicidae. The record is from RefSeq and is a predicted model, not a curated record.